Molecule: non-coding RNA, 73 nt
Organism: Candidatus Woesebacteria bacterium
Lineage: Bacteria; Candidatus Woeseibacteriota
Source: Rfam
GCCCUCGUAGCUCAAUGGAUAGAGCGUAUCGGUUCUAACGAUAGGGUUGCGCGUUCGAAUCGCGCCGAGGGCA